Molecule: ribosomal RNA, 342 nt
Filed under: Triticum aestivum (bread wheat)
Lineage: Eukaryota; Viridiplantae; Streptophyta; Magnoliopsida; Poales; Poaceae
Description: partial small subunit ribosomal RNA
Source: RNAcentral
AUGAGUGUCUUCCGCCUGCCGGUGUCUGUGUGUGAUGAUUUAACAAGGAUGAUGAGACAGUAUUGGUGGGGAGUGGAGAAUGGCAAGAGAAAGAUGGCCUGGCUCAGCUGGUCGAAGAUGACCCUACCCAAGGAUAUGGGGGGGAUGGGGUUCAGAGACAUGCGGGCUUUCAACCAGGAGUUACUCGCCAAACAGGCUUGGAGGUUACUGCACAGCCCGGACAGUCUUUGCGCUCGCCUCCUAUGGGCGAAAUACUACCCGAACGGUAAUCUCUUGGACACGGUAUUCCCGUCUAGCUCUUCUGCAGUCUGGAAAGGAAUUACUCAUGGCCUGGAUCUGUUG